This 19-nucleotide non-coding RNA is filed under the name Rattus norvegicus (Norway rat). The record is from RNAcentral. Lineage: Eukaryota; Metazoa; Chordata; Mammalia; Rodentia; Muridae.
GCAAAAUAUCAUGAGUGCA